Molecule: ribosomal RNA, 688 nt
Filed under: uncultured Flavobacterium sp.
Lineage: Bacteria; Pseudomonadati; Bacteroidota; Flavobacteriia; Flavobacteriales; Flavobacteriaceae
Description: bacterial SSU rRNA
Rfam family: Bacterial small subunit ribosomal RNA
Source: RNAcentral
GCAAGUCAGGGGUAGGGUUACUUCGGUAUCUGAGACCCGCGCACGGGUGCGUAACGCGUAUGCAAUCUACCUUUUACUAUGGGAUAGCCCAGAGAAAUUUGGAUUAAUACCAUAUAGUAUAUUUGAAUGGCAUCGUUUGAAUAUUAAAGAUUUAUCGGUAAAAGAUGAGCAUGCGUCCCAUUAGUUAGUUGGUGUGGCAACGGCAUACCAAGACGAUGAUGGGUAGGGGUCCUGAGAGGGAGAUCCCCCACACUGGUACUGAGACACGGACCAGACUCCUACGGGAGGCAGCAGUGAGGAAUAUUGGUCAAUGGAGGCAACUCUGAACCAGCCAUGCCGCGUGCAGGAUGACGGUCCUAUGGAUUGUAAACUGCUUUUGUACGGGAAGAAAACAAACUACGAGUAGUUAAUUGACGGUACCGUAAGAAUAAGGAUCGGCUAACUCCGUGCCAGCAGCCGCGGUAAUACGGAGGAUCCAAGCGUUAUCCGGAAUCAUUGGGUUUAAAGGGUCCGUAGGCGGCCUUAUAAGUCAGUGGUGAAGUUUUGGCUUAACCAAAAAUUGCCAUUGAUACUGUAGGGCUUGAUAUCUGUGAAGUAACUAGAAUAUGUAGUGUAGCGGUGAAUGCUUAGAUAUUCAUGGAAUACGAUUGCGAAGCAGNUACUACNAAUGAUUGACCUGAUGGACAAA